UAGUAAAGGCUUUAUUAUUAUUCAAAUCACUGUUUAUAAAAUCUUGUGUUAAAAAUUAAAAUUCAAAGAUGAAAGAUGACAUUACAACGCCCAAAAUUGAAGGGCAAUGGGUGAGAUUUUAACCCAAUAUUUAGACUAAUGCUCAGUCCAAGAUCUGCUCAUCCUCUUUAUCCCAAGCUUUUGUGAGGCUAUACAAAUGGAUUGGACAGUUCUUCACUGCUUAAGCCAUAAGCAUUCUUUGUAAAUUUAUAACUCACUAUUCUACUUACCCAACCACCAAAGCCAUGGCAGCAGCCAAUCUGGAUUCUAAAUCACUAUGAACCAAGACAGAUAGAAAGCAACAUCAAUAUCUCCUAGAAAGCAACAUCAAUAUCUCCUCUUCAGUUAUCAUGUUCUAUUCAUCCUAAAAAUAAAAAAUGCAGUUGCAAAUGAACAUACAUACAUAUAUACAAAAUGCAAACAAAUGACACCAUUUGAAUAGAGGGGGAGAUGAAUGUCUUCUAGAAACUUGGAUCCUCACAUCUAAUCACAAGCCUAACAAGAUUUCACAUAUAGUUUAGAAGCAUCUUUAUUGACUACAAGAGUAACUAACUACAUGCGUUGAGAAGUAGAAAAGCUAAUCCUACCAAUUAGGUACCAUGAGAAGGGGCACAUACAGAAGCAUAACUACAGAUGGAAGUUGUAGGCCUUCACAUAUGAACAUCAUGCUAA
Molecule: unclassified non-coding RNA, 711 nt
Filed under: Hevea brasiliensis (rubber tree)
Lineage: Eukaryota; Viridiplantae; Streptophyta; Magnoliopsida; Malpighiales; Euphorbiaceae
Source: RNAcentral